ACUCCUACGGGAGGCAGCAGUAGGGAAUCUUCCACAAUGGGCGCAAGCCUGAUGGAGCAACACCGCGUGAGUGAAGAAGGGUUUCGGCUCGUAAAAGCUCUGUUGUUAAAGAAGAACACGUAUGAGAGUAACUGUUCAUACGUUGACGGUAUUUAACCAGAAAGUCACGGCUAACUACGUGCCAGCAGCCGCGGUAAUACGUAGGUGGCAAGCGUUAUCCGGAUUUAUUGGGCGUAAAGAGAGUGCAGGCGGUUUUCUAAGUCUGAUGUGAAAGCCUUCGGCUUAACCGGAGAAGUGCAUCGGAAACUGGAUAACUUGAGUGCAGAAGAGGGUAGUGGAACGUCCAUGUGUAGCGGUGGAAUGCGUAGAUAUAUGGAAGAAC
RNAcentral lists this ribosomal RNA (382 nucleotides) under uncultured bacterium. RNAcentral describes it as "bacterial SSU rRNA". It matches the Rfam family "Bacterial small subunit ribosomal RNA", at positions 335 to 707 of the family's 1533-position model. The record is from RNAcentral.